GGGACACGUGGUAUCCUGUCUGAAUAUGGGGGGACCAUCCUCCAAGGCUAAAUACUCCUGACUGACCGAUAGUGAACCAGUACCGUGAGGGAAAGGCGAAAAGAACCCCGGCGAGGGGAGUGAAAAAGAACCUGAAACCGUGUACGUACAAGCAGUGGGAGCACAGGUUUACCUGUGUGACUGCGUACCUUUUGUAUAAUGGGUCAGCGACUUAUAUUCUGUAGCAAGGUUAACCGAAUAGGGGAGCCGGAGGGAAACCGAGUCUUAACCGGGCGUUAAGUUGCAGGGUAUAGACCCGAAACCCGGUGAUCUAGCCAUGGGCAGGUUGAAGGUUGGGUAACACUAACUGGAGGACCGAACCGACUAAUGUUGAAAAAUUAGCGGAUGACCUGUGGCUGGGGGUGAAAGGCCAAUCAAACCGGGAGAUAGCUGGUUCUCCCCGAAAGCUAUUUAGGUAGCGCCUCGUGAAUUCAUCUCCGGGGGUAGAGCACUGUUUCGGCUAGGGGGCCAUCCCGGCUUACCAACCCGAUGCAAACUGCGAAUACCGGAGAAUGUUAUCACGGGAGACACACGGCGGGUGCUAACGUCCGUCGUGAAGAGGGAAACAACCCAGACCGCCAGCUAAGGUCCCAAAGUCAUGGUUAAGUGGGAAACGAUGUGGGAAGGCCCAGACAGCCAGGAUGUUGGCUUAGAAGCAGCCAUCAUUUAAAGAAAGCGUAAUAGCUCACUGGUCGAGUCGGCCUGCGCGGAAGAUGUAACGGGGCUAAACCAU
This 772-nucleotide ribosomal RNA is filed under the name Salmonella enterica. RNAcentral's name for it is "bacterial LSU rRNA". It matches the Rfam family "Bacterial large subunit ribosomal RNA", at positions 419 to 1190 of the family's 2925-position model. The record is from RNAcentral. RNAcentral also lists the same sequence under 1 other name. Lineage: Bacteria; Pseudomonadati; Pseudomonadota; Gammaproteobacteria; Enterobacterales; Enterobacteriaceae.